AGGAUAAACGCUGGCGGCGUGCCUAACACAUGCAAGUCGAACGUCUCUUCUUUCGGGAAGAGGAGUGGCGGACGGGUGAGGAACACGUGGGAACCUGCCCUUUAGUGAGGAAUACCGGCGAGAAAUCGCCGACAAGACCGCAUAGCCCUCUUUGAUGAGAGUCAAAGAAGGAAAGCUUCGCAAGAGGCGCUAGAGGAGGGGCCUGCGUCCGAUUAGCUAGUUGGUGGGGUAAGAGCCUACCAAGGCGUCGAUCGGUAGCUGGUCUGAGAGGACGAUCAGCCACACUGGGAUUGAGAACGGCCCAGACUCCUACGGGGGGCAGCAGUGAGGAAUUUUCGGCAAUGGGGGAAACCCUGACCGAGCAACGCCGCGUGCAGGAAGACGGCCUUCGGUUGUAAACUGCUUUUCUUGGGACGAGGAAGGACGGUACCAGAGGAAUCGAGCCCCGGCUCACUACGUGCCAGCAGCCGC
RNAcentral lists this ribosomal RNA (471 nucleotides) under uncultured bacterium. RNAcentral describes it as "SSU rRNA". It matches the Rfam family "Bacterial small subunit ribosomal RNA", at positions 26 to 518 of the family's 1533-position model. The record is from RNAcentral.